AUGGAGGGCCAUGUAAAGGACAAACUCAUAUUGCGCCUCGUCACGCAGCAGUGCCGAGGCCUCGUGGUCCUCAAAACCGCAAGCACACACUACAUGCUCAACCCAUCGACCGGCAGAAUGGCAGCCCUCCCAGAGAACCAGGCCAAGGGUGGCCUCGGUAUCACACGCCUAGGGCUAGGCUACCACACGCGCACCAGGACGCACAAAGUUGUGCGUGUCUACUAUCUUCCCAUAUCUGCGGGAUGCGAGGUCUACGAGAUCAACUCGUCCCCCGCGCUCUGGAGGCCGGGAAAGGGUUGCGCUCAAAAGAAACCGCUGGGUUGGGUAAACAAAGAGCAUGACGUUAGCGUCUUUACCCAAGGGCACAUCUAUUGGUUGGCUGAGCGUAAGCUUGUCACUUCGUCUAAAAAGGUGUUCGUCUUCUCCUUCAAUAUAGACAAUGAGACAUUUGGGACCGUGUCAUUGCCACCGCUCUGCACGGAGAGAAACUGUCAAGACCAAUACGACUUGACCGAGUUUGGUGGGCGCCUAUGCCUCUUCCAUACUGAAGUUGUCUGCAAUGUGCCUCAUCGUGGGCACAAUGUAUGGCUGCUGCGCGACCAUGACACUGGCGUGUGGGAUCUACACUGUCAGAUCGACCUAUCCAUGCUAUCCCCGAACAACGCCAACUUCAUGCGGUAUGGGUAUUGGAUUGACCUACUUUCCGUGGUUGACAAUGGUCGCCGCAUCAUCAUACGGUCAUGUAGGGAGUACUUCCAAAAAUCAAGCUUCGAGUUAUGUGGAGACGCCCCCGUGAUCGGCGACACGAAGAACCUCCUCAAUGGAAGUGGCCUUAUCUCUGCUAAUAGCAGGACAACGCCACAAGCAGUAUUGUACGAGGAAAGCAUCGUCUCCCCUGGGCAGCCGCUAACAACCUACAACUGUAGAGAUUGUUUGUUAGCUCUUUUGAAAGCAAGGAGGUAA
RNAcentral lists this ribosomal RNA (963 nucleotides) under Triticum aestivum (bread wheat). RNAcentral's name for it is "partial small subunit ribosomal RNA". The record is from RNAcentral. Lineage: Eukaryota; Viridiplantae; Streptophyta; Magnoliopsida; Poales; Poaceae.